AAAUUUAUAAUCUGGCACCUUCGGUGUCCGAGUUGUAAUCUCUAGAAAUGUUUUCCGCGUUGGACCGCACACAAGUCUGUUGGAAUACAGCGGCAUAGUGGUGAGACCCCCGUAUAUGGUGCGGACGCCCAGCGCUUUGUGAUACAUUUUCGAAGAGUCGAGUUGUUUGGGAAUGCAGCUCAAAUUGGGUGGUAAAUUCCAUCUAAAGCUAAAUAUUGGCGAGAGACCGAUAGCGAACAAGUACCGUGAGGGAAAGAUGAAAAGCACUUUGGAAAGAGAGUUAACAGUACGUGAAAUUGUUGGAAGGGAAACGCUUGAAGUCAGACUUGCUUGCUGAGCAAUCGGUUUGCAGGCCAGCAUCAGUUUUCCGGGAUGGAUAAUGGUAGAGAGAAGGUAGCAGUUUCGGCUGUGUUAUAGCUCUCUGCUGGAUACAUCUUGGGGGACUGAGGAACGCAGUGUGCCUUUGGCGGGGGUUUCGACCUCUUCACACUUAGGAUGCUGGUGGAAUGGCUUUAAACGAC
This 521-nucleotide ribosomal RNA is filed under the name Rhodotorula mucilaginosa. RNAcentral's name for it is "eukaryotic LSU rRNA". It matches the Rfam family "Eukaryotic large subunit ribosomal RNA", at positions 111 to 648 of the family's 3401-position model. The record is from RNAcentral. Lineage: Eukaryota; Fungi; Basidiomycota; Microbotryomycetes; Sporidiobolales; Sporidiobolaceae.